CAGCUUAACAGGCAGAUGACUGGUUUGUGACUAGAGUAUCUUUUCUGAGAUGAAAAAGCAAUACAAAUGCUCCCCAGAAGGAUGCCAGGCAGGCGGAGAGCGGCAGGGCCGUGCGGGGGCUGCGCCCGGGGAGGUCCUCAUCACAAACUGGAUUGCCAGGGAGGGUCGGUGCCCGCCCCAAGACACGCGCCUCUGAAACGCUGAAAGGGACUCACGUGCUUUAGGAACCAGAUCUGGGAAUUCGCUACGUGUGAGAGUUUCAAAGUGUUCACGCAUUGAGAGGAUAAGGCCAGGAGAUGCAAAUAUUUCAAGAAUAAAGCGGGAGAAGAUAAGGCACAAAUCUCAUCGUCACGGAGAAAUGGAGGCAGAACCUGGAGGCGCGCCCUGAGCCGGGAGGCAGGCAGACCGCCCGUUCCUGGGUCGGGUGACUCACUUCCAUCCCUCUUUUUCCACAGGUGACUUCUGGCAUCUGAACAGAAAUGGAAGGCGGGGAUUCCUUCAGAAUUCAGGGGGGCAUGCUACAAGAUCGAUAUAGGCCCUUGUUGGUCGAGAUCUUUCUCACUCAUGAAAAGAAAUGACCAGACGGAAAGAGAAGUAAAAGCCAAGCUCUCAGCUGUAUUCGUCUGCAAGAGGAGUCACCUUAAAGUUCCCCCGGAAAAGAGGAAAUUGAAUCAUUCUGGAGGAAGGCCUCGUGAAAACAUAAAAGAAGGAAGCCCUCCUGGAGCAUCUGAGGAGGACAGAGAUAACUGCUCGUUUAUUGUGACACCUUCUGGAACUUGCCUCUCCAUGGAUGCGCAUACACAAGUUCCAUAGAGCACGUGAGAGUCUGGAGUUUUCUUAAGACAGAUCAUGACCCAUCCUGAGCCUUGCUUUUUUCAUUCAUUAUAUAUUACAUAUAUUUACAUUUCUAGUAUAUUACUACAACAUUUCUCAGAGAUCUUGCCACACCAGGACACGGAGACCGCCCCAUUCUAGUGGCCCAGAUGUGGCACCUUGAAUGCUGAAGAGUGCACGGACCCAAAUCUCACUUUUGUCCCUGCUGGAGAGGCUGGAAAUUUACUGACUCUUGGUGUGCUUCAGUUUCACGCUGCUAAAAUGGUCAUAAGGACAGUAUCCGUGCCGUAUUAAAAAGUUAAUACAUGAAAAGCCCUUAGAACAGGGUCUGGUGCAUUGUAAGCAACAGAGAAAUGUUUAUCCGUUGUUAAUCAUUUAUAUGGCUACACGGUAGGUCUAUGCUAUGGUGUAGUUUCUCAUUGAUGUACGCUUAGGUUGUCAAUAAGUUUUGCUAUUAUUAAUAAAGAGUGCUUGCCCUAAACACGUGUCCUUAUGUCUCUUUAUGUAUGUAUUCCUCCCCUAUGUGUUUCUGCAGGGUAGAGUAAAAAAAGUGGAAUUCCGCAGGAAGGGAUUGCUUGUCAGAGACAGCAGUUUUGCCAAAUUGGGUUAGGGUUAGGGAAUUUAUAUUCCUGCCCGUAAAGGAGAGCACCAAUUUUUCCAUACUCUUAUCAUCAUUUACUGUUUCAAAUAUUUCAUUCCUCUAAAGAAUGAGAAAUAAUCUUUCUUUCAUGUUUUCAUCUGAAUGUCUCAAAUUACCAGUGGGAACAAAAAUAUGUUCAUGUUUAUGGCUCAUUGAGGUUUCCUCAAGGUGAAUUCCCUCCUCACAGCCUUUGGCCAUUUUUAUAUUGAGCUGUUUGAUUUGUGGACUCUGUGGAUAUAUUCUGAAGGACACUGAAUUUGUUAUAUGCUGCCCGUAUUCCCCUCCCCACCCCCAUCUAAGUAUUAAUUUGUUAAAGUUCUCCAAGGAAACCUAACCGGUUCUCAACCUGUCCUGUCAUCCGUGGGCUCUCAGGAGGAUUAAACCACAAGGAUACCACUACGGCCGUGCUCAAACCACAGCUCUAAUAAAAGAUGGCGUGGCCUAGGUGGGGACUCAGCUCAAAAAAUGAUUGGUGAGCCAAACACCGCCCAACCUUGGCUGGUCCAGGCAGGGAUGUUUCCCUAAGAGUCCCUGAAUUUUGUGUUUCUGAUUACUUCUGCAUCCUGAGCUGCAGCUACCCUGGGAAUGUGGUUCCCGGGGAGGAGGUGGUGAGCUGCCAGCCUCUGAGAGGAAACACAACAAGCUCUGGCAUGAUAGACCUGAGCGAUGGAGAAUGAGCAUGAACCCUCGCAAAAUUCUCCUGGGACCUUCCAUUUAAAGUAGCAGCACCCACAUCGCUAGAAGCAGGUAGAAAGGCUGAAUGCUGAGCCCGGAGCAGACCCACUGAAUCUGCAUUUCAGUGAGACCCGCUCAGGGUUCUUGUGCCCAUCACAGUCUGAGAAGCACGCCUCUAAGGCUGUUUAAACAGGCGAGAAGUACCUGGGGAGUGGGCCUAGGGCUUCAAUUACCAUCAGUUAUUAGUUGAACUGCAGCCCCUAAAAUUCCCUGUGUUGAGUCCUGAGCCCUCAGCCCACCAGAAAAGUGAAAGGCACUCAGCUGUGUCUGAGCCUGUGCGACCUCAUGGACUGUAGCCCGCCAGGCUCCUGUGUCCAUGGGAUUCUCCAGGCAAGAACACUGGAGCGGGUAGCUGUUCCCUUUUCCAAGGCAUCUUCCCAACCCAGGGAUCAAACCCAGGUCUCCUGCAUUGCAGGUGGAUUCUUUACUGUGUGAGCCGCCAGGGAAGCCAGAAGAUGACCUUAGUUGGAGACAGGGUUGCUUCAGAUGUUGUUAGUUAAGAUGAGGCUAUACCAGGCCAGGCUGGAGGCUUAAUGCAGUAUAACUGGAGUCCUUGUAAAGGGGACACUGGGCACAGGAGAGCGUCCUGUGAAGAUGAAGGCAAAGGUCAGGCGGUGCAGCAGAAGCCAGCAGUGCCGGGUUUCAUUAGCAAACCCCCAGGAGCUAGAAGAGAGCCUUGGAACCCACCCUCACAGCCCAGAGAAGGAACCCACUCUGCCAGCACUGAGGUCUUAGAAGCUCAGCCUCCAGGGCUGUGAGAUGAGGCAGUUCUGUUGUUUAAGCCCCUAGUUGGUGGAAUUUAUUAGAGCAGCAAAGUAACAUACCGUCCCAUGGGUUUCCCCUGAUGGAGGAGCCGGGCAUGCAGUGCCCUGGAAAAGACACGCCCAGGUUUAUCUUCCGGAUGAUGAAAACAUGUAGGGGAAUAAAUAGGACUCAAGACAUCAGCUCCCUCUCAGGCAAUAUGUCCCUGUCUCAGCUCCUCCUGCAUGUUGUUCUCAUUUCGCAGGGCGUCAGCACUCGGCACCUUGACAGUGUGCGUGCCCAGGAUGCGUGCAGCUCUCUCCUCGCCCUUAAAUAAAGUGGGAAGCAGUUAGGUGCCGAGAAGGGCCGGCUGAUGGAAUAACCCUGUGAUCUUGCUUCUGCUCAGGUGUUGUAACUAAUGGGCUGUUUAGAGAC
Molecule: long non-coding RNA, 3385 nt
Organism: Capra hircus (goat)
Lineage: Eukaryota; Metazoa; Chordata; Mammalia; Artiodactyla; Bovidae
Source: Ensembl